GGGUUUGUUGCCAUGGGCGUAUGGUGGAUGCCUUGGCAGGCAGUACCGAUGAAGGACGUGUGGGGCCGCGAUAGGCCUCGGGGAGCCGCCGACAGGGCUUUGAUCCGAGGGUGUCCGAAUGGGGUAACCCGCCGGCUGUUGUGGGCCGGCACCGCAGGAAUGUUUGCGGGGGGUACGCAGGGAAGUGAAACAUCUCAGUACCUGCAGGAAAGGAUACUCCGUGAGUAGUGGCGAGCGAAAGCGGAUGAUGGCUAAACCGGUGCCGUGUGAUACCCGUCGGGGGUUGCGGUAUCGGUGUCGUGGGAGCGGCCGUGCCGGUGCCGACGCGCCGGCCGCCAGUUGGAGAAAACCGUGUGUGAGGCGAACCGGGUUGGAUACCGGGCCGUAGAGGGUGAUGGCCCCGUAGCCGAACGCGCAUGGUCUGGUGGUGUCGUGUCCCGAGUAGCGCGGGCCUCGUGGAAUCCCGUGUGAAUCCGCCCAGACCGUUGGGUAAGCCUGAGUAUAUCUGUCUGACCGAUAGUGUACCAGUACCGUGAGGGAAAGGUGAAAAGCACCCCGGGAGGGGAGUGAAAGAGUUCCUGAAACCGUGCGCCUACGAACCGUCGGAGCCCCCGUGUGGGGUGACGGCGUGCCUAUCGAAAAAUGAGUCUGCGAGUCAGUGGCAUGUGGCGAGCCUAAGCCGUUGGGGUGGAGGCGUAGCGAAAGCGAGUCUUAAAAGGCGUUCCAGUCGCGUGUCCUGGACCCGAAGCGGGAUGAUCUAGCCCUGGGCAGGUUGAAGCGCGGGUAAGACCGCGUGGAGGACCGCACCCACUUAGGUUGAAAACUGAGGGGAUGACCUGGGGUUAGGGGUGAAAGGCCAAUCAAAUUCCGUGAUAGCUGGUUCUCUCCGAAAUGCAUUUAGGUGCAGCGUUGGUUGAUUGCGCGCAGGGGGUAGAGCGACUGGAUGCUUGCGGGCCCGUACCGGGUACCAAUAGCAACCAAACUCCGAAUACCUGUCGUGUGUAUGCCAGCAGUGAGUCGGCGGGGGAUAAGCUCCGUCGUCGAGGGGGAGACAGCCCUGACCGUCGUCUAAGGUCCCCAAGCGCGUGCUAAGUGGGAAAGGAUGUGGAGUCGCAUAGACAGCCAGGAGGUUGGCUCAGAAGCAGCCAUCCUUGAAAGAGUGCGUAACAGCUCACUGGUCUAGUGGUUCCGCGCCGACAAUGUAGCGGGGCUCAAGCACGCCACCGAAGACGCGGCAACAACCCUUGUGGUUGUUGGGUAGGAGAGCGUCCCAUGCUGGGUUGAAGCCGCGGAGUGAUCCUGUGGUGGACCGUAUGGGAGUGAGAAUGCAGACAUGAGUAGCGAGAGCAAGGUGAGGAUCCUUGCCGCUGGAUGACCAAGGGUUCCAGGGCCACGUUCGUCGUCCCUGGGUGAGUCGGGUCCUAAGGCGAGGCCGACAGGCGUAGUCGAAUGGAUGAACGGGUUGAUAUUCCCGUACCGGCCCUUUGACCGAUCAACGGCCCCCUGGCCGAACACACAUUUCCGUGUUGGUUCCCAUGCCUUUCGGGGUGUGGGGCGAUGCAUGGGUCUGUGUGGGGUGCCUUGGGGUCGAGCGCGUGGAGUGACGCGGACGGGUAGCCGGCCGGGGAGGUGGUUUUCCCUGGUCAAGCGUGUGGCCCCGCCCCCAGGCAAAUCCGGGGGCAUCAUGGGGUGAGGCGUGAUGAUGGGGGCCCUUGUGGCCCGAUAUCCGGUGAUCCCGUCGGCCGAGAAAAGCUUCGGCGUGAGGUCUUGGGCCGCUCGUACCCCAAACCGACACAGGUGGUCAGGUAGAGUAUACCAAAGCGAGCGAGCGAAUCCUGGUCAAGGAACUCGGCAAACCGCUCCCGUGCCUUCGGCAUAAGGGAGACCCCCCGCGGUGACGGGCCCUCGCGGCCCUCGAGCGGUGGGGGGUGGCACAAGCCAGGGGGUAGCGACUGUUUACCAAAAACACAGGUGCAUGCCAAGACGCAAGUCGCCGUAUAUGCACUGACGCCUGCCCGGUGCCGGAAGGUUAAGAGGAUCCAUCAGCGCGGCUUGCCGCGCGAAGUGGUGAAUUCAAGCCCCGGUAAACGGCGGUGGUAACUAUAACCAUCCUAAGGUAGCGAAAUUCCUUGUCGGGUAAGUUCCGACCUGCACGAAUGGCGUAA
Molecule: ribosomal RNA, 2165 nt
Filed under: Bifidobacterium pseudolongum
Lineage: Bacteria; Bacillati; Actinomycetota; Actinomycetes; Bifidobacteriales; Bifidobacteriaceae
Description: partial 23S ribosomal RNA
Rfam family: Bacterial large subunit ribosomal RNA
Source: RNAcentral